RNAcentral lists this ribosomal RNA (650 nucleotides) under uncultured bacterium. Its description in RNAcentral is "bacterial SSU rRNA". It matches the Rfam family "Bacterial small subunit ribosomal RNA", at positions 56 to 757 of the family's 1533-position model. The record is from RNAcentral.
UGCAGUCGAGCGCCCGCAGGGGAGCGGCAGACGGGUGAGUAACGCGUGGGAAUCUACCCAUCUCUACGGAAUAACUCAGGGAAACUUGUGCUAAUACCGUAUACGCCCUUCGGGGGAAAGAUUUAUCGGAGAUGGAUGAGCCCGCGUUGGAUUAGCUAGUUGGUGGGGUAAUGGCCUACCAAGGCGACGAUCCAUAGCUGGUCUGAGAGGAUGAUCAGCCACACUGGGACUGAGACACGGCCCAGACUCCUACGGGAGGCAGCAGUGGGGAAUAUUGGACAAUGGGCGAAAGCCUGAUCCAGCCAUGCCGCGUGAGUGAUGAAGGCCCUAGGGUUGUAAAGCUCUUUCACCGGUGAAGAUAAUGACGGUAACCGGAGAAGAAGCCCCGGCUAACUUCGUGCCAGCAGCCGCGGUAAUACGAAGGGGGCUAGCGUUGUUCGGAAUUACUGGGCGUAAAGCGCACGUAGGCGGAUACUUAAGUUAGGGGUGAAAUCCCAGGGCUCAACCCUGGAACUGCCUCUAAUACUGGGUAUCUAGAGUCCGAGAGAGGUGAGUGGAAUUCCGAGUGUAGAGGUGAAAUUCGUAGAUAUUCGGAGGAACACCAGUGGCGAAGGCGGCUCACUGGCUCGGUACUGACGCUGAGGUGCGAA